Molecule: ribosomal RNA, 465 nt
Filed under: uncultured Actinomycetes bacterium
Lineage: Bacteria; Bacillati; Actinomycetota; Actinomycetes
Description: bacterial SSU rRNA
Rfam family: Bacterial small subunit ribosomal RNA
Source: RNAcentral
GACGAACGCUGGAGGCGUGCUUAACACAUGCAAGUCGAACGAUGAAGUGGAGCUUGCUCCACGGAUUAGUGGCGAACGGGUGAGUAACACGUGAAUAACCUGCCCUCAAUUUCGGAAUAACCCAGGGAAACCUGGGCUAAUACCGGAUAAGUAAACCUGUGACAUCACAUGGUUUUGGAAAGUUUUUCGAUUGAGGAUGGAUUCGCGGCCUAUCAGCUUGUUGGUGAGGUAAUGGCUCACCAAGGCGACGACGGGUAGCCGGCCUGAGAGGGUGAACGGCCACACUGGGACUGAGACACGGCCCAGACUCCUACGGGAGGCAGCAGUGGGGAAUAUUGCGCAAUGGACGAAAGUCUGACGCAGCGACGCCUCGUGAGGGACGAAGGUCUUCGGAUUGUAAACCUCUUUCAGCAGGGACGAAGCGAAAGUGACGGUACCUGCAGAAGAAGCACCGGCUAACUAUGG